This 1275-nucleotide ribosomal RNA is filed under the name uncultured Sebacina. RNAcentral's name for it is "eukaryotic LSU rRNA". The stretch from base 601 to 1275 matches the Rfam family "Eukaryotic large subunit ribosomal RNA", at positions 1 to 656 of the family's 3401-position model. The record is from RNAcentral. Lineage: Eukaryota; Fungi; Basidiomycota; Agaricomycetes; Sebacinales; Sebacinaceae.
GGUGAACCUGCGGAAGGAUCAUUAGUGAAUCUUCAAAAGUCGGCUCUGUGGAUUGUGCUGGUGGGCAACCACAUGUGCACGUCUACGGGUCGCAAAUCCACACACCUGUGCAUCUAUGACUCUGAGUGCCGCUUUGCAUGGCCCUUGAUUGGACCUGGCGCUCGAGUACUUUUCACACACUCUUGAAUGUAACGGAAUGUCAAUGUUGUGCACAAUGUACAAACAAAAACAACUUUCAACAACGGAUCUCUUGGCUCUCGCAUCGAUGAAGAACGCAGCGAAAUGCGAUAAGUAAUGUGAAUUGCAGAAUUCAGUGAAUCAUCGAAUCUUUGAACGCACCUUGCACCCUUUGGUAUUCCGAAGGGUACACCCGUUUGAGUGUCAUUGUAAUCUCACUACCAUCGACUUUGGUCUUUUCGGUAUGUGGACUUGGAUGCUGCCGUUGUUGUCGACGGCUCGUCUGAAAUGCCUGAGUGUACCCCGCUUUGUGGCGUAUUCGGUGUGAUACAUCUUCACCGGAGUUGAUCCUUGUGGUCGCGUCUGUAAUGGUGUGGCUCUAUGCUUCCAACCGUCUCUUUGGUUAGACAAUCUCUGACAAUUUGACCUCAAAUCGGGUGGGACUACCCGCUGAACUUAAGCAUAUCAAUAAGCGGAGGAAAAGAAACUAACAAGGAUUCCCCUAGUAACGGCGAGUGAAGAGGGAAAAGCUCAAAUUUUGAAUCUGGUGUCUUUGACUCCCGAGUUGUAAUCUAGAGAAGUGUUUUCCGUGUCGGACCGUGCACAAGUUCCCUGGAACGGGGCGUCAUAGAGGGUGAGAAUCCCGUAUAUGGCAUGGACUACCGAUGCUUUUGUGAUACACUCUCAACGAGUCGAGUUGUUUGGGAAUGCAGCUCAAAAUGGGUGGUAAAUUCCAUCUAAAGCUAAAUAUUGGCGAGAGACCGAUAGCGAACAAGUACCGUGAGGGAAAGAUGAAAAGCACUUUGGAAAGAGAGUGAAACAGUACGUGAAAUUGUUGAAAGGGAAGCGUUUGAAGUCAGUCGUAUCUGAUGGGAUUCAGCCGGGCUUUUGCCAGGUGUACUUCCUGUCCGAUGGGUCAGCAUCAAUUUCGAUCGGGGGAAAAAGACGUGAGGAAUGUGGCUGUCUUCGGGCAGUGUUAUAGCCUUGCGUUGUAUGCCUCGGUUGGGAUUGAGGAACGCAGCGCGCCUCCGGGCCAGGGGUUCGCCUCUUGACACGCGCUUAGGAUGCUGGCAUAAUGGCUUUAAGCGACCCGUCUUG